UACAGAGGGUGCGAGCGUUAAUCGGAAUUACUGGGCGUAAAGCGUGCGUAGACGGCUAUCUAAGUCGGGUGUGAAAGCCCCGGGCUCAACCUGGGAAUUGCAUUCGAGACUGAAUAGCUAGGGUACGGUAGAGGGAAGUGGAAUUUCCGGUGUAGCGGUGAAAUGCGAAGAUAUCGGAAGGAACAUCAGUGGCGAAAGCGACUUCCUGGACCAGUACCGACGUUCAGGCACGAAAGCGUGGGGAGCAAACAGG
Molecule: ribosomal RNA, 253 nt
Filed under: uncultured bacterium
Lineage: Bacteria
Description: partial 16S ribosomal RNA
Rfam family: Bacterial small subunit ribosomal RNA
Source: RNAcentral